UUUUUUUUUUUUGUUGGUAUGGGCUGAGUGAAUGAAUAAUUGGUUGGAUUGGAUUUUUUUUUAUAAUUAAUUGGAUUGGAAGUAUUAUUACAGUGAGAGUUUUUGUUAAUUAUUUAAGGAGGUUUUAUAAUUUUCCACAAAUAAAAUAUAUUAUGGAGGUUUUUAGUAACUCCUAUUAAAAAACUAUCACAAACAAAUAAAAAUUUUGUAGUGUGGUGAACCCUGGAACUCAUACCUGCAUAAUUAUGCAAGUAUUUUCAAUGUUUGCAACCCUAACUUCAUAUAACCAUGAAAACAAAAUCAAACUCAUGCUAAAUCAAUUUAGUUAUAUACAACUUUUGCUAAUUUAAUACACCAUUACACUCGUAAAGAAAAUAGAAUCAAAUUAACUAACCCUGUUCCACUCAGCUCAACACUUCAAUUUCAUUUAACUUAAUGCAUGCUCUCAUUGCUAAAAAAAAUUGAAAAAAUUCUUUAAAUGCAUGAUUUUUGCCAAACAUAUACAUUUUCUAAAUUAAAGAGGCAAAUUUGCCAAACAUAUAUGAAAAUAAUUUUAAAAAAAUGAAAAAGAAAAUAAAAAAAUGAAAAAGAAGUAAAAUUCAGACACAGAGGAUACUGUUCCAAAUAUCCCUAUAGCAAAGUCUGAAGAAGAAAAAAAACUUAAAAGGUCCAAAAAUCCACAACACAAUACACAUUUAUACUAUCUAUUAAUAUUGAAUGAAACUAAAUAGACCAAACACACGCCAAUAUGAACAGACCUUUUUUAAACAUUCUUCAAUCCCAGACUUAAGCCUAAGUAAAAGAUAAAUGAAAAAAAAAAUUAAAUGCCACGAGAAUGAUGAUCAAAUUAACUAAGAAGCCUGGGAGACAUACUUAGGUGAUGUAUGUCCAGAAAUCCCACAGUUGUAGUAGCAGCUUCAGCCGCAUCCAGCACCACCUAUGCCUACUUGCACUAUACGAACACAAUGCUCAAUGAAUCAGUCAUAAAAUGUAAAAAUAAAGGAAAAGAAAAGAAAGAAACUCUUAUCAUUCUUAAGUAAUAUUACUAUAUAUUGUACAUGCGGACAUAAUCAUUAAUUAAUGCAUAAAAAAAUCAACAUAUGAAUAAAGAAUGGUGCUCUGCUCACGAAUACAAACAUCACUAUAUAUGGUUUCAUUCCAACUGAUUUAGUUAGUUAUAUAUAUCAAACGUGUUUUAGCCUUUAGACAAAGCAAAAUUCAAUACUUUAAAUAGCUUUACUUUUAUCAUACCUUGGCCGAAUACAAAACAAUAUCUUCCUUAGUUAGUUUGAAAGCAUGACUACUUCCAUAUGAUGCAAGAUUCAAGGCAGCAUGUGGUUCUGCCUGACACAAUAGCACACAUUUUAUUACAUGCCUUAAUCCCAUCCAUAUUCUGUGUGAUUCACGGAAUUAAGAAAAUCAUUAGAGGAUUCUAAAAGUAACUUACUUGAGAUCAUGUUGUUACAAUUAGCAGAUCCUUUGGAGCAUAAGCAUCAAUAUCCACUGCUUUUACCUAUGUAAAAUUAUAAAUAAUGAAAAACAAGGUAACAGACAUGAAAAACACAAAGUCAUUACAAAUAAAAGAUAAAGAUAAAGAUGAAUAGGUGCUAUCAUAAAUUUCUAAACAUAAAGAGGCAAUCACAUAAUUAAAAUUUUACCUCUCUAGCCACAAAGAAGAGGAACUUGUGAUCAGCUAAGUUUCCUUCAACCAAGAAACAGAACCGUGCGAGAAGGAGGCACAGCCAUCGCGCCACCGUCGCUGUCUUCAUCGCGUGUGGAGUCGCCGUUGCCGACAAGCCCAGCCGCCGCCCAGUUGUGUCGCCGCCAUGAAGACCUCGCCGACGUCUUCCCCUUCGCAGAUCGUCACCGUCUUUGGAGCAGAAAGCGAAAGAGAUCUCACGGUGGAGGAAACAGGAAGGCACCGCCGUGCAGCGAGAAGCUACCGCCGUCGUUGCGCGCUCCGUCACCGCUACUGCUGGGGCUGCGCCGCCGUGACUGAGCUUCUGCCACCCGAAACCCACCGCCACUGCCACCAGAAACCGCCACUGAGGCCUAAGUCAGUUUGGUAAGCUCUAAUAUUGCCUCAGAUCUUCUUUUCUGUUAAGUUGCUUCUACCGUGAGUUGUUACUGAGGUUGUUUGCAUCGGAUUAUACAGUCACCGCUACUGCAGAACCAUCAGAGCUUCCGGCCGUUAUUAGAGCUGCUGUCUGGUCAAUUUUGAAGCUGCUACUGUGUCGUUCUAUUCUGUUUAUCAUGGUAAGAUUAUUCGGUUUCGUUCUUGUUUAUCGCAAUACUUUAUUAUCAAUCAUGUUCUAAUAUCGCUCAAUAUCCAUCCCGCGUUAAUUCUAAAUUAUGUCAGAUAUGUGGUUGUUGCUGUAACUUCUACGGUUGAUUGGAAAUUUCUGCGGUUGCUGCCGAUUAACAUGAGAAUAAGGAUUUAAUGGGUUUAAUUAUGCAACUUGCGACUAAUUGAGGUAGGGAUUUUUCUUAAAAUCUAUUUUACAUUACAGAGUUGUGAUAAAUAGAUAUUGAUGCUAAAAGAUAUACUUCUGUGAUUAUAUUUGUCUUGUGGAUGUGAUAGUUUGUUGGGCUGGAUUAUUGGGUGCUUGAUUGCGUGAGGGGUGUAUGGUUGUUGAUAAAAAACCGGUUUAAAAUGUUAUUUACUUGAUUAUUAUGAAAGGUGGAUUUUCGUGGUUUUGGAGUUUACUUGGUAAUAUAAAUGAAUUGAUUUUGGAAAUAAUUUGAGAUAUGAAAAUAAAUUGAUUAUGGGAGCGGUUUGAUUUUAAGUUGGUAUGAUUUUAUAAAUGAUUUAAUAUUCGAGUUGAUUUUAUUUUAAAAAGAGUUUUAUUGUUGGAAUUGGUUUGAUUUGAAAAUAAUUUGAUAUUGGAACUGGUUCAACUCUGGAAAAUGUUUGAGAUUUGGAAAUGGUUAGGAAAAGGUUUGAGAAAUGUUUGGAUGGGACCGGAAAAGGGUAGCAGUGUCCGAGUUUUAGAGGAGAUGCUGCCGAAAUUUUAUCAAAUUGGAAGUUUUAUUUGAAGUAAUUAAUUAAAAAGAUUUGUUUUUAAACAUUAUAUGUUUUAAGAUUGAUUUACUUAUCAAAGAAAGAAUUAUGUUUUGAAUUGGGAUUGUUAAUGGACGGAAUGGAAAGAAGGAUGAUGAGAAUUCUCUUUAAAAUAUGAUUUUUGAAUGAAUUUGGAAAUGAGAUUUGGAUUGAUGAAUGAUUAUGAUGUUGAGAAUGUUGAGAUAUUGAUUGAGAAUGUUGAGAUAUGAUCUUUGAAUUAUUCAAAUGGCUUAUGAAUUUGAAUUGUCUAAGAUACGAGGUUCCCUGGAUAAAGUACCAUGGCUUGCCACCACGUGUACCAGGUUGAAAACUCGAUACUCUGUUGACCCUACGACGUAAGUGUGACCGGGCAUGCGCACUAUAUAAAUUUCUGGGAAUGUUACCCCCAUUGAGCAAUAUUGAUUAUUUGAGAAAAAGCUAUGCAUAGACUCUUAGGGAUGCACGUCGGGGGACAGUCUAAGUUCAAUUCAGACUUGUCGGGUUGGCUGGAUAACCGACAGAUGAGCCUCAUCAGUCAUAGGACAGGCAUGCAUCAUAUGCAUUUGUAUGCUUUGCUUGGGUUUGAAUUUGUUUUGGUUUGCCUAAUUGCUAAAUUGUUCUUAACUGCUACUUGAACUAUUUGCUGUAACUGCUACCUACUUGUGCUUUCCUUGUCUAUCUUGCCUGUGUUUGUCCUAGCGUGUUACAUUUGAGAAUGAACUUUGGUGCUGAAUUAAUGAUUGUGUUGUUUGAUUGCGUGGUUGGUUUCUUAUUGAUAUUUUCUUAUAAGAAAGGAAAGGUUUCGUUUGAUUGUGUGUUACAUUUGUAUGUUUUGUAUGUAUGUUAUAUUAUAAAAUAUUAUGUAAGGAGUCUUGUAUAUGAAUCUAUGUCUGCUUGUAUUUUUCUUAAGAUAAAGUAUUUAUUUCCGGUUUUCAAAGGAAUCAGCGAUACGGUGUCGAGUCACAGGCUCCUAUUUUAAUAUUUAGUAUGUAAAGUGGUCGUAAUACUUCUUGCUAUCAGAGUAGCGCAGCCGGAAGCGUGACAUUCUAGUAGUGAGGGUGUUACACUUGGCAAAGACAGGGUUUAUAAUGAUUGCACAAAGGCAAAAAUUUGUAGCAUUAUUAAAUUAAAUCAAUCCUUUCGUUGUACAAUUACUAACAACUUGAACUUAUUGUUGCAGAAAAAUUUCCACUUUGAUAAAGAUAGAAGUGGAAGUAUCAAGAAAACAAUUUUACAAAGUAUAGGGAAGUCCUGGAACAAGGACGCUUGAGCAAAAUCUUGAGUUACGCCCGACGAAAAUUGAUAAAGAGCAUUGGAGAUAGUUCCUUGAUUAAUGCAAUGAUCCUGACACAUAUGUAACCUAUUUUGAAUUCGUUAAGAAAUAAUACUAUUUAUAGUACAUUGAUAUGGACAAAUUCGGUGUCUAAUCAAUCUUAUUUUUUAUGACAUAAUAGGAGAAGUGCAAAAAAAAUGCUAUGAAUUGAUCAAAACAACUAUACACUCACAUUGACGAUUUUAAAAGCUUGGUGAGACCAAAGGAAGAAGAGGUAAUUUAGGUUUAAAUUCAUUUUAAACUAUAUUUUAGACUGCAUAUUCUUUAUUUGGGUUUAAUACAGUUAUUUUUUAAACUAUAUUGUUAUAGAACUAUAGGAGAGAAAAGUUGGUAGAGGAGAAUUAUGGACCUUAGUGCAUAAACGACAUGAUGACUCCUAUAUACAUGAAGAAGCUCAGAUCAUUGGUGUAAGUACUACAUUGGGAUCCUUUAUGUUGUUUCUCGUUGGAUUUAAUUAUAAAAUUGUGUUGAAUAUGCUCUAACCUGUAAUUUCUUAUGUAUGCUUAUUUACGUCUGUAGAAAAAAUUGUGGAGAUUGAGCAAUGUGAUGAAUCUACUAGAAUAUUGUCUGAAAAUGAUUCCCUUGCCCAAGCUCUCGGAAAAGAGCACUCGGGUAGAGUGCGUGGCAUGAAUUUCGGACUGACUCCAAGUCAACUCUUCUGUUCUAGUUCGCAGCUGCCGGUGGAUGAAACUCAAAUAGAGGAGGUCCAAAGGAUGCUGAUUGAACUACAUGCAAAGGUGAUGGCCGAGAAAUUGAAAAGGAAGGCAGUGGAGGAUGAAGUAGCAACAGAGAAAUUGAAAAGGAAGGCAGUUGAGGAUGAUGUAGUAGCUGAGAAGAUAAAGAGGCAAGCAAAAAGAAGUGUUCUAAGUUAUUUAAUUCAACGAUAAGAUGGGAAGCUGCCACUAAACACCGCUGCACGGAUGAAUUCUUUGAAUGGACAUAACGAAAAAUAAAAAUUAGGAUUGAUGUUAUUUUAUUUGAAGUAUAUAUAUAUUUUUUAAUUUGACUAUGCAGCAAAUAACGGCGGUUUGUAACCGAUGGAAAUACAUUUGAAAAAUUGCCGCGGGUUUUGAUAUAGCGGUGGUUGGUAAUCGCCGAAAAUAAAAUUUUGCCAAAUUUGGCAGCGCCAAAUAGUGACGGUUUGUAACCGUCGCAAAAGAACCUUGAAAUUGUGUUUGGGCAUAAUGUGGCCGUUCAAAACCACCGCAAAACAAUCCAAAGCAAAAUAUAUGAAUAGCAGCGGUUAUACCAGCGGUUGGUAGAAACUGUCGCAAAAUCAAAUAUUUACGUCGUAAAAGAGGAUGAUUGAUGAACUACUGGUAUAUAUUCUGUUUAGUGACGGUUUAAAACUACCGCAAAAUCUAAAAAACUGUCUCUAGUAUCCGCUUCUCUUGUAGUGAGCCAUUGCAAGCAUCUAAAGAUUGAUCUACACUUUUUUAAAAGACAAGGUUACGUUAAUUAACGAUAAUUCUUUGUUGUGAAUAUUCUAGCAACUUAUAAGUUUGCACACAUUUCUUUGACAAAUUCAGAACCAAAUCUAGAGUGUGUAUAAGUCCAGGUCACACCUACGUUUAAGGAGGUGUUAUAGAUAAAGAGAAUUCUACUAGAAAAAGUAGAUAGUGCUAGUUGAUUAUCUGGUAUUGGUGUAAUCACCUUCCACUUAUAUCAAGGUUAGGUAAUUAGUUAAGAUAGAAUUUUGUUAGGCUGCUAUAUGAGUUUUUUUAGAGUUUAUAAUAUAAGCUGUGAAUAUGCAUACAUUAAUAUAUAAAUUAGAAUUGUACUAGCGUAUCAAUCUAAUAAAAAAUUUGGAUUAUUCAAUCACAAAUUAUUCUGUAUUCUCUAUUAUCAAUAAUCACUAAAAAAAUCAUAAUAGCAUGUUAAGUAUGUGAUACAUGGCAAAUUUUUAUCUUAUAUAUCAGUAGUUAAGUAUUGAUUUUUUAUCUUAAUUUAAGUAUUGAAUCUUUCAAAAAUUAGAUGGAUUUUAUAUAUGAUCUUUUCUUUUCAAAUAUCAUUUUGACAACUAAUCCUUAAAGAAAAGACACCUAGCAUAUUCAUUCCAAAAAAUAAUGGUGUUUGCUACGGUACGAUGAUAAAUUCAUACGUACCGAUACGUUUAAAAUAUGGACAAGUAAUAACAAGCCACACGGAAUCUAUUUUCCACAUCAGCAUCUAAUUUUUUCUUUUUUAAAUAUAUAUUAUAUCACCACUUUUACUAAUAUAUCCCUUUAAUUAAAUAAAAAUAAAAAUAUAUUAUUAUUUAAUGUUAUAAAAAUUCUUAAACAUCUUUACUUUAUUUGAUUAGACAAAAAUACUUUUUAAAUUAAUCAAAUUUUAGAAUUCAAUUAAUCCUAAUUUUAUAGUUUCAAAUAAUUUAAACAAUAAAACAAAAACAUAUAAAAAAAAAACUAAAAAUCAAUCUUUUUUCGUCUUCUCCAAUUCCCAUCAUUAGUAUCCUCCUCUAAAACAAAGCAAAAUAUAUCAAAAAAAUAAAAAAUUAAUAUGUUCUUCAUCUUCUCCUAAUCUCAUUCGUGCCCCCCUUUCCUCUGAAGCACACUAAAACAACAAAACCCUAGCAAUAAUUGACUGCGUUGAUCUCGGUAGCUACGUCACCCACGGAAUUUAAAGAAUCUAAAAGAAAAGGAAGGCUAAACCACUCAACUGGGCAAACGCGGCGUCUUUCUCCUCUAUGGAAGUUCUUUAAAUGCCUCUUUCUCAAAGGUCUACGAUAUAUUGAUUGAGCGUGGUAGUUGGCUGCUCUGUCUGACUUCUUUGCCGCCGGCGUCCCCAGGCUCAGCGCUUCCGCUUCUUCCUCUUCCCUCUGUCCGGAACCCAAGUAGCUCGUCCUCAUCCUCGUUGGCUUCUCCGUCCGUGGCCAGGGAAAAAGUUAAUAUCUUCCCCUCCUUCCCUGUUUUCCUAGUUUUCAAAGUUUAAAAUCUACUUUGGGACUUGCAUUCAUUCCACACAAAGAUGUUGCUCUCCCUCAAGUACUACAGCCCUUUGCUCUUCCAGCUGGAGGGAAUGAUAUAGAGAACAGGUGAAGAUUUAAGACUUAAUAUGCUCUUUUGUCUUCUGUUAUUAAUUACUUGAUUAUGAACUGGGAAUUGGAAUAUGUAUGUUUCAGAUGACUUAUUAUUAUCCUGCAUUUUGGUUCUGGAUUGUCUGUUAAUCUUUUUAUGGCCACCUUGACAAUGAUGCUAAAUUGCUAAUUACUUGAUAUUUCCAGGAAUGAAUAGAAUCCUGAAUCUUGAAAUUGGUCAUAACACACAGGUCUUCAAUUUCUAAAUAACCUUAAGCUGCAGUUGCACUUCAGUUGAUUUUUUAGUAACAUAGAUGAAUAUUAUCUUAUUUGUAAUAUCUUCCACGGAGAGGCCAUUGGUUGCAAAGAGAUGAAAAGUACUACCGUCACCAAUGACUUAUAAUCUCCAUAUGCAAUGAAAAACAUAGAUUAAGUUUAAUUAUUGAUCCUGCAUGAACUAUAUUUAAAAUACAUAUAUUAUUUUCUUGUACAAUGGUAUGGAGAGGUGAUACAUAUCAUGAACUAUAUCAUUGGUUGAUGUCUUAGUGCCAAUAGCUGUCUUGUUAUGGUAAUAUGUUAAUAAUGGUAAUGAAUGGUUUUUUAAGGAUCAAUUUGUGAAUAAGGAAAGAGGAUACGACAAAGUGUUUGAACUUUGUUUCGAAUAUGCGGUAUUAGCACCUAGUACUGAUAUUACAUAAGAUGCUAGGCUAAUAUGUGUUGAAAAUAGAGUAAAGUACCAAUCCGGUCCCUGUCCAUUUCCCAAAAAGACAAGACGAUCCUUAACCAAAAACACGUUCCAUUACGGUCUCUAAUCCUGUACUCCGUCUGCCAACCCGGUCCUUCUGUCAGUUUUUCGGCGAAAACUCGAUGGAAAUUGCUGACGUGUCAGGUUAAAAAAUGGACAAGGACCUAGUUGUCUCUAAAUUUAAAUUGGUUAGGGGUUUAUUUGUCUUUAUUAUUCUAAAUUUAUAAUAGAUAAUUUGAUAGCUAAUUUUUUAUGUAAACGUAAUAUUUUUAUUAUAAAAAUUAUUAUCAUGUUAUAUAUAUUUCGCCCCCACUAUCAAAAUUUUUUGGAUCCGUCACUAGUUAUUAUUAUUAAUGUAUUAACUGAAUUUUAAUGUUUAUUAUUUAUAUAUUUAAAAAUUAUAUUUAAAAAUUAUUUAUUUGGUUUCAUAAUAAAUGAUAUUUUUAAAUUUGAAUAAUUUAUUAAUUAGUUUGUACUUUUUUAUUAAAAAAAGAAUAUUAAUAUAAUGAAUAAAAUAUAAUUAAAAAUAUUAUUUAAAGAAUAAUAAAGACAAAUAAACCCCUAACCAAUUUAAAUUUAGAGACAACUAGGUCCCUGUCCAUUUUUUAACCUGACACGUCAGCAAUUUCCGUCGAGUUUUCGCCGGAAAACUGACAGAAGGACCGGGUUGGCAGACGGAGUACAGAGUUAGGGACCGUAAUGGAACGUGUUUUUGGUUAAGGAUCGUCUUGUCAUUUUGGGAAAUGGACAGGGACCGAAUUGGUACUUUACUCGUUGAAAAUAUUAUCAAUUGUUGGAGGUUGUGGUUAUUAUGAAUGUCUUGAUGAUCACCUAUUCGCCUUCGGUGAAGAAUUAGGGACUGGAAUUUCAUGUAGUAGGAAUUAUGAUCAUUUUGAUAGUUAAACCAUCAUGGAAGAUGCAUAGAUCUUAUUUUGGCUUACUUCUGUUUCUCUCUUUUUCAUGUGGAUUUAUGCUUAGGUUUUGUUUAUUAAUUCUUUUCUUUAAUGCCUUUGAACUUAGUUUUUGCUUCUGCGAGUUCCCUUAUUCAUGUUUGUACCAAGGAUCUGCUUUUUAGCCCUUUGUGCGUGCGUGUCUUAAUUCAAUGCUUAUUUAUUCUCUCUAUUCACAUGUUCACUUUCUUACCAUUGAGGCUACAUCUUCCUGGUCUCCAUAUACAUUGUGCGACUCGAUGAUGGUAGUUUAUAACUGUUCAAUAUUUGUUAAUGUGUUACCAUAGAUUUGUGUUACCAUAAUGACUUGCAAAUAAUAAAGUUGGAUUUUAAAUUAAAUUACUCUAAACAUGUUUAUAUUUAUUAACAAAGGAAGCCUACUACUACUACUAUACUACAGUACAAUUCAUAUAGGGAUGAUAUACACAAGCAUUCUUUUUUCUUUUCUUUUCUUUUCUUUUUUUCCCUAUAGAAAUACCUACUUAAAUACAACACCAUCUCAAAUUCUAGGGAUAGGGAACUGGAGAUUUCAGCUCCAAAACACAGUUUCCAUUGAUUGCACCAUGCACUAUGAAACUGUUUGGUCUUUUUUAUAUUUUCUUCUUGAAACAUCCAUCACAGUGCUCUACAUAAUGGCUCCAACUUGCUAACUAAUAUAACUGAAAAAGAUUGAAUUAAAUGUAGCUUAUUGAUCCAGUUUGGUCAGCUUGUGUUCCAACUUGUUCUCCACACAAAGGCUUUGAUUAAGAAAAUCUGCCACAGAAUUAAAGUACAAGAAAUAAAUUAGUUAGAUUAAGGAAGAGCUCAUUGAUUGCUUUGCAGAAAACUUCAGAUGCUAAUUAGCAUGCCACCCCUAACACCUGUGGCCCUGACCCAUUCUCGGAAGUAAGAAUUUUCAAACCCAAUCAGAGUAAGUGGUCAAGGCAAAAGACAUGGCAUAAAAUGCAAUUUUAAGUUGGGGAGAUUAUGUUUUGGAUUUGGGGGGACAGAAAUAAAACAAACCUAAAGGCGAGAUAUAUCACACUUUGCUCCAUCUGAUACAAAUAUGUCAUCAUCUUCAAUGCUAAGAUCACGGUAAAAUGUUAAAGCAAUUGCACUUCUUAAGCAAGUGUGCAUUCCUUCUUCUAGCAAUCUUUUUUUUUUCAAAAAAAAUAAUUAAAAAAAAUAUGCACAGCAAAAGAAACAGGAGAAGUGAAAAGUGAGGAAAAAAGUAGUUGCAUGUCAUAUGAAAAAGCAACGUCAAAGGUUGAAAGAAAGAGAAGGAUAUUCACUUUCACAUUUAUUACAUAAUGUAUAUGAAUAAUGAUUGAGUAAAAUGACACAAAUCCCGCAACUUAUUCAUUUUUUCCUCACUAGUGAUAGAUAAACAAAUCUCAGUAAUGAAGUGCUUUGUUAAGAAGAAGACAUAAGUUCACUCAGUCCUAAGAAUACAUAAGUCAAGCACUUCAAACAAACAGAAAGACAUAAGCAUGCAAGAGAGUCAUAAGAUCACUGCAACAAGAAAAGAAAGGCAGAAUGUCUUAAUUCCAUACACAAGCAAUUCAAUGUUGCAGCUUGGAAUGCAAUCAAUGAACAUUCAUAGGCAGUAGUUUAUAAAUAAUAAACAGCCUAACCUAAAUUGCCCCAAGUCAAUAAUAUCAACUAAAAUUUAAAGAUCAAAUUAUAAAAGUAAAAUAAUCCACCGCCAGCAUAAAUGUUCAGUGAGACGCCAUUAACAAUGUUUAAUGCAAAAUAGUGCUUGGUGACAGGUGGAGCAAUUGGACAAAAUAUAAGGGUAAUAUAUAGUGUUACUAUAAUCACCAAUGAGAUGCUAAAACAAAUUAUCUUGAAAAAAUGGGAUGGGGAAGCCUUCAUUUUCUAGAAAAAUAAAAGGUUCAGAGAAAAUAACUAGCUUUGCGGGUUUGCAUUAAUUUCAUCAUCUAAUCACAAGUUGACAAGUCCAGUGAGAAUAAAUAUGUUUGGCGUAUGAGGAUGAGAAUUAAUCCAUUAUCUUAAUUACCUAAGUCCUGCUACAAGACCAGCAGGCAUAAUCUUGGAUGUUUCCAUGUAUCGCUGUCCCAUGACCCAUGUUAGUGCGACUGUGGUAACUGAGAAAAAAAAAGGAGAGAUUAUUUCACAAAUAUUUACCAUAGUUAAUGCAGCGUGAAUGGCAUGUAAGAUGAAUAUUCAUGAUUAAUUUUUGGAUGCAUAGAUACGAACAAUGCAUUUCAUUUAGUUUUAUUCUGCCAAAGUUUCUGCAUGCACUUAUUAUUAUUUGGUAGGGCUAAUGACAAUCGUUGCUGAUUGUUGAUCGUAUGGAGAAUGCUUUUACAUUCAAAUGUCUGCAUUACUGUUAGAGAUAUAACCAUUCAUGUUACCUCCUCCUAUCAGCUUAAGCUUUUUCAUUAUCAUUGAUUCUCAAAAAGGUUUAAGGUUUUAUAAAGUCAUAUAUAAUCUGUAUUUUCUAUGUACCCAACUAGACAGAUCUAAGAAAAACCAUUUGGAUCUUAACAGACAUAGUAGCAAUCCUAGAGCACUCACUCAGCUCUACUUUAUAUGAAAAUUUAUUUCUAAAGAAUCCUUCUCUUCUCUUCUAGUGAAUAGUAACAAACAAAUUUAACAGAAAACAAACAUGUUCUUUCAAUUUGUAAGCAUUAUAAACCUAAAACAAUUUUCAAUAUACAAUUUUUCAGUUCAGGUUUCACUUUGGUAUAUCCCAUCUAUCUAUCUAUCUAUCUAUCUAUCUAUCUAUCUAUCUAUCUAUCUAUCUAUCUAUCUAUGUUACUUAUAACAAAAUUUUCAGCCAAAUUUUAAUAAAGUUUCAACACAUUCUUAAUAAAGAGUAACAAACUUUUCCAAAUCUUUCUGAUGUUAAGCAUAUUAGAAAAUGAAACCCAACCUUUAGGAGCCAGAAACAAAAUCAUGAAAUUUAAACAAGAUCACAUUCAGACCAAAACCAUAAUCAGAAAAAUCAAUGUCUAAUCUUAUUAUUUAUAAACAUUCAAAAAAGGACAGACACUCACAAAUUUAGCAUGAUUUUGAAGUAGAACAAGAAUGAGGACUUUUGAAAUAAGUGGUAACAUGAUGGCAAGGCACGACAGAGGUAGCAACAGAGGUAGGAGCACUGGCGGCCGUCUUCGACCUCAAACACGGCGAAAGAAGCAAAGGCCUCACCAUUCGCGCGCCUCCUCCCGCGACCUCCACCCCUUCUUUCCCCUUCGCAGCGCAUUCUCUCUCUCUAUGUUUGUGUGUCUCGUCACUUAACGAUGACUACGACGACGACAGACGGCGGCAGUAGCAUGACGAAGCAGACAAAGAUGAGGACUGAGACCGGCUUGAGGAAUAAGCUAUGAUUGUUCGAGCAGAGGAGGGUGGAGCAUAUGCGGCGCGACGCGACGGCAGAGAUGAGCUGCGACGACGCUGAAACAGUAGGGACGACGACUGGACCAGAUUCGACGGCGGCGGUAGGACGGCGGUGGUGACACAGCUUAGAGGAGAGUGAUGAGGCUAGGGUUUGAGAGAGGGAAGCAAAUGCGUGAGACUGAAAGGCUAGUUCCAUUUUCCUCUAAUACCAAAACGGUGACGUUUUUGGCAGAAAAGUGAAAAUCAGCCGGGUCCUGGUUCGGUCCGACCGGCCGGUUCUCGACCAGUUCAAUGGUUUCAGAGCGCUUUUUGAAUUGCCAGUUUUACCUAUUAAACCGAAUUGGAAUCGUUGGCGAUUUUCGUUUGAACGAUCGGCCAGUCCGAUCCGGUUUUCAGAACCAUGCUCUUUACAAAGAAAUUCUCCAGGAAUAUAAAGUUUUCAACAAAAGAAACAUAAACCAAAUAAGCUCGGUUACAAAAUUAGCAUAAACUCACAAGCUCUAAUUUAAUAAGAUGAUCACAUGGGUGAAACCCGCGACACUUCAAAUUCACUGUAAACAACAAAAACAAUAAAAAGGGGCAUAAAAGAAUGACAAACAAUGACAAUCAAAAUGGUUAGGGUUUCGAAGUUUUAAAAAUGCAUAUAUGAAGUCUUUUUUCAAUCCAAGCAGCGCCUUUUUCAAUUUAUGCAAAAAUUCAGAAAACCGGCGGGUCCCAGUUCGGUUCGAUUGACCGGUUUUCGACCGGUUCGACAGUCUUAUAUUGGUUUUUCAAAAUGCCAGUUUUAGCAUACGCCCGAGUCGUUUUCCCUAUCGGUUCGCAGUUCGAUCGGUUCGACUGGUCGGUUAAACCAGUUUUAGCAUCCGCCCAAGUCGUUUUUCGCAACAGAUCACAGUUCAACCGGUUCGACCGGCCGAUUCGAACCGAUUUUCAGAACAUUGAUUAAAAUCAUUACUUGUCCAGCUUACAACACAGAAGUGGUUCAAGGAAUCGAAAUACAAGAGUGAAAAUUAAGCUUGACCUAAAUUCAACUAUAAUUGAACUAAAGACAGAAACAUUAAUUUUCAAAAAGAGUCCAUAAAAAAUAUAGUGCAUAAUAAUUUUUUAAGUAAAAGAGAUGAAACUAACAACUCUUAAUAGUUAAUAUAAACUAAACAUGACUACAUGACAAUUACGAUUUUUUUAAUUUUUGUUUUAAUCCUUUUGUUUAUACUUAUUGUAAUUCUAGGUAGCAGAGUCAAUGACAUUAUGCAGCAUCAAGUUGUGGGGCCUUAGAAUCAAAUCCAACGCAAGUCGCAUCCUUGUACUAUCAUUAACCUGAAAAAUAUAAAUAUUUUAGGUUACCAACAAAACCAUACACAUUUGCAAAUGAAGUACUAUUUUUUUUUAGCAAAAGAAAAUUACAUUUAUUAUAUAACUAUACGUCUUCCUGUAGUUUGUCAUCCAGGUUGCCACACAUACCCCCACAAUCAUUCUUGUAGUUUGAAUUGAACCCGACUUCCUCGAUCCGGCUUGGGCUAUGUACUUGUCCAAAUAGAGCUUAAGAAGUUUAAAGCAUUCUCCUUCCCCAGGUAACAGGAUUUCCAAGACCUCAUCAAUUCAAUCUGCCACAGCUGAAUCAAGAUCACCUGGUCGAUUUGUGGCAAGUGCAAGGACUAUGUCUUUAGACUGGUCGCCAAUUCGAAAGAGAAGAGCAUUUAGUGCACUUCUUUGUGCUUCACUCAUGUAGGCUUCCUUUGUUAAUAAAUAUAAACAUAUUUGGAGUAAUUUAAUUCAAAAUCCAACUUUAUUAUUUGCAAGUCAUUAUGGAUGGUAAAAUCUUUAGUAAAAAGUAUUAGCAUAGAUUUGGGUACGCAUUAGUUAUAAUUUGAAAGUUAUGUGAUAUCUGAGCAUGCCUGCCUUCAUGAUAGCUCAUCAUAAUGAAUCAAUAUCUCUAGAUUGCACAAGAACCUAAUACAUUCCACCAUUUUUGAUCGGUUAUGUCAAAAAUUACUGAUGAAAAAUUAUUUCUAAAGUCCAAACCCAUUUUUAAACAAUAGAAUUCCACAAAGCUCUCAAAUUUUAUAAAAAAACUUAACACCAAUAAGCAAGGUGCGGUGAGACAAUGCCACAGGAAGAGAAAAUCGCGAACAUCCUUUAAUGGUUUACAAUCAACAACAACAAGUAAACCACAAACUCCCACUAUAUAUUUGAAGUAUACGAGACACAAUACAAAGUCCAGCAAUAACAAUCAUAGCAUCCUAACACUAUAUAACAACAUUCUCUCCAAAACAUGUAGGGAAAAUAGGAGAAUGGAGACCAACAAUUCAAACUACCAAGACCUUAAAAGAGAAAAAUGAAUUAAGCAUCAUAAAACAAAAUCGCAUGAACCCCACUAUUUCAACAGACAUUCUCCAACAAGAAAGCUUUCAGCUACUGCAUAAAUCAUAAUAGAUAAACUUCUACUGGUGCUUGCACUCUGGAGGUCGCUCACCCUGUUGACCUUCACCAGCCGGUGCUCUUCCACCCUUCUGAAAAUUUCCAGCCAAUGUUGAAACAAGUUAGGAAGAAGAAACUUUUGGGCCUUAGCAUCAAGCCCUAUUUCAUCAAGUUCAGUGUCAUUUUCCCAUACACAUGCAAGAAUGACUCUAAUCUUAGAGUUACGAUGACCAGCCCAAAAUCCAAGAUUAGUCCUGCAUAGCCCAUAUUUACCAAAGGUUGAGAGUGAAUAAAUAUUAAUGUAGACACGUUGUCUAAUCAUCUUAAAGCAUGAGGUAUACAUCAAUAUUCUAUGUACUAGCAAACUAAAUAAUCUAAGAAUCACUAAUAAACCUAUUGUUUGAAUACUGAAUUAUGUAUCACCUCUCCAUACCAUUCUACAAGAAAAUAAUAUAUGUAUUUUAAAUAUAGUUCAUGCAGGAUCAAUAAUUAAACUUAAUCUAUGUUUUUCAUUGCAUAUGGAGAUUAUAAGUCAUUGGUGACAGUAAUACUUUUNNNNNNNNNNNNNNNNNNNNNNNNNNNNNNNNNNNNNNNNNNNNNNNNNNNNNNNNNNNNNNNNNNNNNNNNNNNNNNNNNNNNNNNNNNNNNNNNNNNNNNNNNNNNNNNNNNNNNNNNNNNNNNNNNNNNNNNNNNNNNNNNNNNNNNNNNNNNNNNNNNNNNNNNNNNNNNNNNNNNNNNNNNNNNNNNNNNNNNNNNNNNNNNNNNNNNNNNNNNNNNNNNNNNNNNNNNNNNNNNNNNNNNNNNNNNNNNNNNNNNNNNNNNNNNNNNNNNNNNNNNNNNNNNNNNNNNNNNNNNNNNNNNNNNNNNNNNNNNNNNNNNNNNNNNNNNNNNNNNNNNNNNNNNNNNNNNNNNNNNNNNNNNNNNNNNNNNNNNNNNNNNNNNNNNNNNNNNNNNNNNNNNNNNNNNNNNNNNNNNNNNNNNNNNNNNNNNNNNNNNNNNNNNNNNNNNNNNNNNNNNNNNNNNNNNNNNNNNNNNNNNNNNNNNNNNNNNNNNNNNNNNNNNNNNNNNNNNNNNCGCGAACAUCCUUUAAUGGUUUACAAUCAAUAGCAACAAGUAAACCACAAACUCCCACUAUAUAUUUGAAGUAUCGAGACACAAAUACAAAGUCCAGCAAUAACAAUCAUAGCAUCCUAACACUAUAUAACAACAUUCUCUCCAAAAUAUGUAGAGAAAAUAGGAGAAUGGAGACCAACAAUUCAAACUACCAAGACCUUAAAAGAGAAAAAUGAAUUAAGCAUCAUAAAACAAAAUCGCAUGAACCCCACUAUUUCAACAGACAUUCUCCAACAAGAAAGCUUUCAGCUACUGCAUAAAUCAUAAUAGAUAAACUUCUACUGGUGCUUGCACUCUGGAGGUCGCUCACCCUGUUGACCUUCACCAGCCGGUGCUCUUCCACCCUUCUGAAAAUUUCCAGC
RNAcentral lists this long non-coding RNA (16319 nucleotides) under Arachis ipaensis. Its description in RNAcentral is "long non-coding RNA (AIPA_LNC000587)". The record is from RNAcentral. Lineage: Eukaryota; Viridiplantae; Streptophyta; Magnoliopsida; Fabales; Fabaceae.